GAUUAACGCUGGCGGCGUGCCUAAAACAUGCAAGUCGAACGGAGUACCACCUUCGGGGGGUGCUGAGUGGCAGACGGCUGAGUAAGACGCGAGUAAUCGGCCCACGAGUGGGGAAUAACCGUCCGAAAGGGUGGCUAAGACCGCGUACGCUCUCGAGUUGAGAGACUAGAGAGGAAAGCUCGGAAGAGUGCUGGUGGAGGGGCUCGCGGCCCAUCAGCUAGUUGGUGGGGUAACGGCCUACCAAGGCGACGACGGGUAGCUGGUCUGAGAGGAUGAU
Molecule: ribosomal RNA, 277 nt
Filed under: uncultured bacterium
Lineage: Bacteria
Description: partial 16S ribosomal RNA
Rfam family: Bacterial small subunit ribosomal RNA
Source: RNAcentral